GGAGGAAAGUAGGGGAUCGAAAGACCUUAUGCUUUUGGAGCGGCCGAUGUCUGAUUAGCUAGUUGGUAAGGUAAUGGCUUACCAAGGCGACGAUCAGUAGUUGGUCUGAGAGGACGACCAGCCACACUGGGACUGAGACACGGCCCAGACUCCUACGGGAGGCAGCAGUGGGGAAUUUUGGACAAUGGGCGCAAGCCUGAUCCAGCAAUGCCGCGUGAGUGAAGAAGGCCUUCGGGUUGUAAAGCUCUUUCAGUUGAGAAGAAAAGAUUGUGACUAAUAAUUGCAAUUCAUGACGGUAUCAACAGAAGAAGCACCGGCUAACUACGUGCCAGCAGCCGCGGUAAUACGUAGGGUGCGAGCGUUAAUCGGAAUUACUGGGCGUAAAGGGUGCGCAGGCGGUUCUGUAAGUCAGAUGUGAAAUCCCCGGGCUUAACCUGGGAACUGCGUUUGAAACUACAAGGCUAGA
Molecule: ribosomal RNA, 466 nt
Filed under: uncultured bacterium
Lineage: Bacteria
Description: bacterial SSU rRNA
Rfam family: Bacterial small subunit ribosomal RNA
Source: RNAcentral